Molecule: ribosomal RNA, 253 nt
Filed under: uncultured bacterium
Lineage: Bacteria
Description: partial 16S ribosomal RNA
Rfam family: Bacterial small subunit ribosomal RNA
Source: RNAcentral
UACGUAGGGGGCAAGCGUUAUCCGGAAUUACUGGGUGUAAAGGGAGCGUAGACGGUAAUGUAAGUCUGGAGUGAAAGGCGGGGGCCCAACCCCCGGACUGCUCUGGAAACUAUGUUACUAGAGUGCAGGAGAGGUAAGCGGAAUUCCUAGUGUAGCGGUGAAAUGCGUAGAUAUUAGGAGGAACACCAGUGGCGAAGGCGGCUCUCUGGCCUGUAACUGACACUGAGGCUCGAAAGCGUGGGGAGCAAACAGG